CUGGGCUUUCUACGCCUGCAUGACAGGGGCCUGCUCAUACCCUUCCUCCCUACCCCUAAAAAAAUCUAAGAAGAAGAAAAAAACACCUUUCUCCUCCAGCCGUUGCCGGCGGGGCCCCAUCCGCGGCGAAGUCGCCGGUGAGCUGGGCCGUCUGGCCGCAGGGCAUUUCCGUCGCCAUAUCUGGCGCCCAGUACCACGUAUUUCCACCGCGCUCCAUCAGCAGCCGCACCGCCCCUAAUCGCCGGCCUCCAGCGAGGGGAACCGCGUUGCCGUCUUCGGUUUGAUCCCCCUCAAUCCUCGUCGGUGGAGGUAAGUAAACAACUCCCUUUUCAAUUACUCGCUCGGCCAGCAAUUCGAUGAUGAAACACCCACACAUGGGUUCUUCAGUAGGGACAAGCAUGGCAAGGUCAAGGUCUCAAGGAUAAGGUUUGGGAUGAACCACAUGAACGUCAGGCAGGUCAUUAGGUCAAUAUAACCUCUGUAUUGCAAUUUACGCGAUGAUUUGGUGCACCGGCAUUGCAUUAUAUGGUGAGCCGAAAACCAAAUGGGAUUAAACAUGGCAUAACUGAUGUAGUGAUGUAGUGAUCUCUGUAUGUAGAUGUAGUGAUGUGUGUGUAUAUGUUAUGCUGAUGUAGUAAUGUAGUGAUGUCUUGGUAUAGUAGGACAUUUUCAUGGCUUGGGUUCAUCAGUCGGUGGGUGGUUCAGAGAAAAAACCAAUAAUUAGGAGGCAUCAUUAUAGUUGACAAGUUUCCUUACCAUUCUAGUUCUUGCCCCGUGAUUAUUUUGUCACGAAGCUUAUCUUGGCUAUCAAACCAUCGACCGGCAUCCGGCCUCCUCCUCCUCCUACUCAGCAUUUCCAACACAACAGUGCCACAGCCGUAAACAUCUGACUUGAAAGAUAUUGUUCCAAACUUCAGAAAAUAUUAUAGCAUUUAAAUAUUUCUGAGUACGACAAGUUAAACAGUUGAAAGCCGUAUUUUUCAUCUUUUGAGAAAGCCGAGCCAUCUUUUUAGACAUAAGAACUUGAUGCACAUCACUAACUCCUCUGCCCUCUGGUGACUAUUGUAUAGCAAAUCUCUCAUUGUGCAGUUUUUUUCCUUAAAAAAACUCUGAAUUUCAGCAGUCCCCACAAAACGAGUCAUUUAUCUGAAACAGAAGUUCUACUAUUACAGAAGUGUGUUAAGUUCAUUUGUAACCCUCUUCGUACAAGAAGAAAUUUUGUCAGAUCUACAUGAUGUCCACUCCAUAUAAAACUGAAGUACUAUCACAUAGGAACUGUGAAGCAACAAAGAGAGCUUAGGGACCAUAAAGGAACUUCCUGCCUUUCCAAACUUAGUGGAUUAUUGAGAGUACAAUAAGCACUUGUUGAUACUAAACAUUUGGUGUUUAUUAGUCUCUCGAAGUCCCAAUUUGCUUUCAUAUGGUCCAUUUCUCAGCUUUCCCUGCACAUGUGAAAAUUUUAAACAUGCUAUUAAUUUCAAGUACAAUUACUAGAAACAGAUUUGCAACGGGAGAAACUGGACAAAACAAUAAAAUUGACUCAUUCGUCUGUUUUAGAGACCAAGACGAAGAGGGCUAAAAAUGUCUUAUUCACAAUGAUGGUUCUGCGGUUCCUGUGCAACAGAGAAGGAUGGCCAGAGCCUUGUUAUCUUGGGUUCUCUGGCCAAUAUGUAAAGAAUGCAAACUAGGCAUCUUAGUAUCUCUGGAGUGCUGAAGCAGCAACAUUGACUUCACCGUUGAUCAAGUCCUUGAAGUGCCUCCCUCACUGGUGAAUACGGUUACAGGGCUGGGAUAGUGUUAGGUUUAGAAGAACCUCAUGGGGGAAAACCCAGGAAAUAUGGAUCAAGAUCGAAGAUCCGUGUGGCACUGUGACCUUAAUCUAUGAAAAUGAUAUAUGUGUGUGGCUACUGGAAAAAUCUAGGCAAUUUACAGUUAUGUUAUGAACUUUGCAAGAUAAAUUUUAAUCUGAGUUCCUCCUCCUGCUCACAUCUUUGCAAGCUAAGAAUCUGAAUUCUUUGUAUUGAAAAUGUAGCAAAAUCCUUUCAGUCAGUGGAAGGAAGAAUAAACAUCUCAUCAAUUAUCAACACUUUUUGGUUAUCUGGGAUGUUUAAGAAAGAGCAAAAAUUUAUCAAUGCGUGUACAUUUUACAGUUUGCUCGUAACGUCUUACAAUAGAUUUGAGCUACCUUUUCUCCAUUUGAGGAAAUCAAGCUGUACCUAAUUUCAACAAAAUCAAGUGGGCAAGCUGCAGAACAUAAAGGCACUUGCGGUAACUAACAUACCAGACUGCCCAUUUACUUCUCUGCUUUAUUGGAGCAAUGACAAUUUUACAACAUGUUAGUAAUUUUUAAUUUCAACCAUGAUAACUCAAACUAGAUUUGCGCUACAGGUGGAGCUGAAGAGCAAUGCAUGUGGAGCUCAAAGGAACACAAAUGAUUUCAUCUGUUGUGGAUCAAAGAAGGUUUGCAAUACUGAUAUAUUAUGCAGGUUAGCAUAACUCAAAAGUUGUAAUAAUUUGAGAAAAUACAACAGACCAUGAAUUCUGUUUUACAUAAGAGAAUCUCCUACGCACAAUCUAAUUGCCUACCUUGUCUGAAUUGUCUCUGUUUCACCUGGGGCCUGAUACAUCUGAGGCUAGAGGUGGCGCUGAAGAGCUCACAUUUCCUGUUCUACCAAAAUUUGCUGGAGUUGUUACAACAAAGUUAUGCUCUAUGUUGAGGUCUGCAGUCAUGACACCUUCCAAUACUUUUACCACCUCAGACAUUUUAGGCCUUUUUUUGCAAUCAAUCUGCAAGCACCACAUUGCAAGCAUCAUCAUCUGAAUGCAUCUUGCUUGUGUGCUUGCAUGUCGUUGCUGUUAUUGUCAAUCAAAUCUACCAACUGAUCAUUCUUUACCUUUUCCUCCAAUAGGCUGAUGAGAUGGAUGCUCUCUUCUGACCGGGAAGUGUCGAGGUUCUUUCUUCCACUGAUGAUUUCCAUGACCACGACGCCGAAGCUGUAGAUAUCCGCCUUUUCUGUGAUCUGUGAUGUCAACCAUUCAGGAGCUAAAUAUCCAGGCGUGCCUCUCAUUCCGGUAACCACUUGGCUCAUAUCCCUGUCUAUGAGUUUGCAUAGUCCAAAAUCAGAAAGUUUAGCAUUAAAGUCAUCAUCUAAGAGGAUGUUUUGUGGUUUGACAUCCAAAUGAGCAAUUCGUUUUGUGCACUCCUCGUGAAGAUAAGAGAGGCCCUUAGCUAUAUGAGUUAUAAUCUUGCACCGCGUGCUCCAAUCCAGAGGAGAAGCAUCAUUGUCAUGUCGGCAAUAGAUCCAUCUGUCCAAGGAUCCUUUGGGCAUGUACUCAUAUACCAAGAGCCUGUGGGAUUUCUCUGCACAGAAACCAAUCAAUCUCACCAGAUUAAUAUGAUGAAUGCUGCCAAUUGUCUGAACUUCUGCCGAAAAUUCUCUUUUGCCCUGACCAGUUCGAUCCAAACGUUUUACUGCAAUCCUUUCAUCAGCAAAUUGACCCUUGAAAACAGACCCAAAUCCUCCUUCCCCGAGCUUGUCUUUGAACUGCUCGGUUGCUGCUCUUAGCUGUUGAAAUGUGAACCUCAUUGGUGUUCCUUGUAGCUCCCCAAACUCUUCCUCUUCUUCCAUCUCAUGUUGUUGUUGUGUUCUUCGUUUACAUAUAAAGAAGGCGACGAGGAACAAGAUGGUGAGAAAAAUGAAGCCGCCUACAGGAGGUAGAAUUGCAACAACUCUUCUUCCAGAGGGGGAUUUCGGUUUCAUGCUUGUUGGCCCAAUAGUUGUAGGUAGAGUACUUGGGGUCGGAGGUGUUGCCUUGGCUGGGGGUGCAGGCAGGGGACUUUCAGCUGUAGGUGAGAGUGUUUGAUUAAUCAGGGGACAGAAGAUGACCUGGUACUUUGUGCCCGACGGGCAAGAGUAAGUGGAUGUAUCAUCAGGCUUGCUGUAGGCAUCUGGGCACAUCUGCUUAACGAAGGCCGAGUAACUUGUGUUGCAACGGCUUGCCGUGCUCCCAGUACAUGCAUUGCUACACCCUCCCGGAGCCUCCAGCUCUCUUGGGCACUGCGAUGUGAUGUUGGCUGCACAACGCGGCCCCUUGCUGCACCCUGACCUUCCCUGAAUCGGCACCGGCAGGAAGUCCAUGGGCACGUUGAAGCCAUCAAUGAGCGAGAUGUCGAAGAAAUCAUCAACACUUUGGCCUUGGCCAAGACUGAACUCGCCCAGCGUGCUUGGCGAUCGACCACUGGCCGUACAUGCGAGCAAGCCGCUGCAGUCACCAGUUUGGCAUGACCCGCCUUCGUCAAGGAGUGAGCAGCCUGUGCGCGGCCAGAUGCGCCCUGUUGAGGUACCAGCGGGCAUGUUCAGCGCCCAUGUCUCCCCCGGAUCGAGCUUCACGCCACCUCCCGGCAGAGCGGCUGGCCACACGGUGUAGGAGCAUUGGUUGAUGAUUUUGAAUGUGGUGGCCUCGCUGGUGGCUGCGAGUAGGAGUACGAGGAGGAGAGGGAGGAGGUGGAGACACGAAGAGGUACUCGCCACUGCCAUUUUUGGUACGAUUUUUUUGCUUGCACGCGUUAACUUGAAACACAGUCUGAGUUGGAAACUUGCAAUAGGGUUCCUGUGAUGGCUAACAGGGUGGAAGAGUGGUAGGGGAUUGUAGAUAGGGACUGCAUCUGUGUGUUGAUUCAUUCAACGGUCAGCAAAAAAACAGCCUAACAUGCCUAUAGCCAUGACUGUUUGAUAGGAACAGACUUGCUUGUUUGCUUGUUUAGUCCCUUUUGAAUUGUAGCUGUACGUCUUCCAAAGAAAAAGAAUGGGAAUCUUUGCAUCUGCAUAACGUGUUGUUUGAUCAAUUUUUCUGCCUAACAAAUUCUUUAAGCUGAUGUAGACCUAAACCCUAAACCCUAACUGCGCACUUUUCUGCCUUUAAGGAAAUUGUUAGGUUGCACAUCUUAAUUUGUUCAUUCCUAAUCUGCUGUUAUGAUUUGUCACGUCAUUCCUGAUCUGGAAUCUGGAGUCACCAACAGUUUAGAGGUAAUCUGGUGUUUGGGGGCAAAGCUGAAGCUGACAGCGGUUGGCAGCUGCCUCGAAGCAGCUGGAGGCCUCCUUCACCCGUCGACGACUGGCCUAGCUAUCAUACGCCGUCAACCACAUGGAACCAUGCAUGCAUGUCUCACUCAUCAUAACUGUUAGACCGGCAUAUUAGGGGCUUAGUCCAGUGGGCUGUGACCCAAGUUAUUUUAUAGUUAUUAGGGGUUUAGCCCAAUUAUCUUAUCGUUAUUAGGGUCGUUUGCUUAGGUGUCAAGUAAACCUCCUUAUAUAAGGAGAGGAGAUGUAUCAAUCUAAUUAAGUAAGAAGUAAUCAGUAUUUGCUCAGCUUCCCUUAGGGAGCCGGGAGACCUAACCCUAGCUGCCUCUUGCACCGCCGCCGUCUCUUCUCCACCACGCAAGGACGGCGCCCAGCCGCCGGCCGCCGCGCCCUCGACCUCGUCUUCCUCCAUCUUUCUCCUACAAUCUCCGCCCUAGAACCGGCAGAACCCUAGCUCCUAACACUUUGGUAUCAGGUAGCUCAGUUUCGAUCAUGUCUUCGCCGCCGCCCAUCCCGUCGCUUCCGCUGCCGACCGUCACCACCGCGCCGCUGCUCUCCCCGUCCGCGCCGCUGGUCGCAUCCUCCGGUGCCACCACCACCCAGAUGACGAUGCCCUCCACCGCACCACCGGCCGCCGUCUACUCCCCGGCGGAGAUCACCGGGGUCCUCAACGAUCUCGUCACCGCCGUCCAGGGGAUACGGCUAUACCUAGCCGGCCCCUACGGGCCGCCGGCCGCCGCGACCGGCCCAGCCGCCCUGCCAUGGUAUUCGGCACCCGCGGCGCCGACCGGGCCUCUACACCACCACUGGCCGGUUUAGCCGCCGCCCGCCGCCGCGCCCCAAUGGCCGCAGUGGCCGGCGCCGGCCCUCGCCGCGUCACCCACGCUACCCGGGUCCUCGCCGCCACCGCCCUGGCAGCCCUGGUAGCCGUCGGACCCCAGGGCCACCGCGACGCUGGUUGGGCCACUACAGCCCUCGCUGCAGCUACAACCAGCCCCCGCCACCGCCCCGAUCUGGCCACAAUGGUUGGCCCCGGCCAUCGCCGCGCCCGCCGCCUCCGCCGUUUCCAGGCAGCAGCAGCUGCCACUGCCGGCGCCUCCGCCGCCCAGCACCGGGCUGACUACAACCGCGCCGGCGGGCGUGCCGAUUCAGCAAGUGCGGUACCCGCCCUCGCCGUCCCAGCUUCCGGCCUGGUUGGCCGGGACGUCACCGCCGCCAGUCUACACCGUGGCCGCGGACCAGCAGGCGCCCUCCCUGCCGUAUGACGGGCCCUCCGGCUCCACAGGUUUCCACACUGGCUUCGACGGGUCAUCGCUUUCCUGCGGACCACCUGUGCACAACGGACCAACACCAUCUUCUUCGCUGCUCCAUAUCGCCGAGCCAUACACUCACGCGGUCAUGCUCAGACGCAGGCAAGGCUUUUGCAUCUUUCAACAAAAGAAAAGAAAAAGCUUCGGACCCGGCCUGUGAUGUAUGAACUCUUAAUGUGGCUGUCAUUAAGAGCCUAUAGAAUAAAUUAAGUUCUUUUUUUGUGAUGUAUGAACUCUUAAUUUAUAUACUAACGAAUAAAUUAAGUUCUGCUGUAGAGCAAGAAGGUUUGUAAUGUUAAAACAUUUUGUAUGUAAAAUUAACUCAAGAGAAGCGGCUUUAGAUUGUACUAAUUUAGAAAGAUUCAACAUACAAAUCUUUUACUCAUUUCACUUGGCACGUGAUACAAUGGACAAAUCUUUCACUCCAGAUAAGCGGUUCAUAUUUUCAUUGUCCUAUUAUUCUAUUUUUAGUUUUAAAUUCAUGAAUAUUUUUAAAAACUUGUGAACAUUUUGAAUUAAUUAAAAUAAUUUGAAUUUAUGAAGUUUUAUAAGUAGAAAAAUAUUUUUAACUCGUGGACAUUUUUAAAUUUGAAUAAACUGACCGAAAUAAAAAAACCAGCUAGAAAAAUCGCUGAAAUAGAAACAGAGCUUUUUUAGUGCUUUUUUAGGCAUAUUUUUUUGAGGUGUUUAUGAGGGAUAAAUAGAAAGAGAGCUUUUUUAUCAGGGGUUGCGACAUUCCGUGGGCUGCAUAGAUCGGGCCAUAUACGCCCGCAUGAGGCAGGGGCCUGCGCUCAAGAAAAGAAUAACUUUUGUCUCAAAAAGAAUUAACCUUUCUCCUCCAGCCAUUGCCGGCGGCGCCCCCAUCCGCGGCGAAGUCGCCGGUGAAGUUGGUCAUCUGGCCGCAGGGCAUUUCUGUCGCCAUAUCUGGCGCCCAGUACCACGUAUUUCUACCGCGCUCCAUCAGCAGCCGCGCCGCCCCUAAUCGCCGGCCUCCAGCGAGGGGAACCGCGUUGCCGUCUUUCGGUUUGAUCCCCCUCAAUCCUCAUCGGUGGAGGUAAACUCCCUUAUCAAUUACUCACUCGGGCAGAAAUUCGAUGAUGAAACACUCACGCAUGGGUUCUUCAGUAGGGACAAGCAUGGCAGGUCAAGGAUAAGGUUUGGGAUGAACCACAUGAAGCGUCAGGCAGGUCAAUAUAACCUCUGUAUUGCAAUUUACGCGAUGAUUUGGUGCAACGGCAUUGCAUUAUAUGGUGAGCCGAAAACCAAAUGGGAUUAAACAUGGCAUAGCUGAUGUAGUGAUGUCUAUAUGUCUUGCUGAUGUAGUGACGUAGUGAUCUCUGUAUGUCUUGGUAUAGUUGGACAUUUUCAUGGCUUGGGUUCAUGGUUGGCGGGUGGUGCAGAGAAAAAACCAAUCAUCAGGAGGCAUCAUUAUAGUUGACAAGUUUCCUUACCGAUUCUAGUCCUUGCCCUGUGAUUAUUUUGUCACGAAGCUUAUCUUGGUUAUCAAACCAUGGACCGUCAUCCGAGCUCCACCUACUCAGCAUUUCCAACACAACCGUGCGACAGCCGUAAACAUCUGACUUGAAAGAUAUUGUUCCGAAGUUCAGAAAUUAUUAUACUCCAUCCGUCUCCAAAUAAGUGUCGUUGAUGUAGUACAAAGUCGUACUAAUUUUGUACUAAAUCAGCGACACUUAUUUUGGGACGCAGGGAGUAGCAUUUAAAUAUUUUCUGAGCACGACAAGUUAAACAGUUGAAAGCCAUAUUUUCCAUCUUUUGAGGAAGCCGAGCCAUCUUUUUAGACAUAAGAACAGGAUGCAUAUCACUACCUCCUCUGCCCUCUGGUCAUUGUGCAGUUUUUCAUUCAAAAAACUCUGAAUUUCAGCAGUCCCCACAAAAUGAGUCAUUUUUCUAGACAGAGGUUUCACCAUUGGAGAACUGUGUGCAAAGUCCAUUUUUUUGCCCUCUUCUGGAUUUUUUCUGUUAUGUCUGUAUGAUGGCCGCUCCAUAUAAAACUGGAGUAUUACAUAGGAACUGUGAAGGAACAAAGAGAGCUUAGAGAUGAUUAAAGGAACUCCCUGCCUUUCCAAACUUAGUGGAUUAUUGUUAGUACAAAAAGCACUUGUUGAUACUAAACAUUUGGUGUUUAUUAGUGUCUCGAAGUCCCAAUUUGCUUUCAUACGGUGCAUCUCUCUGCUUUCUCCACACAUGUGGAAAAUUUCAAGCUUAUUCGUCCAGCCCAGGAAAGAAUGCAAAAUUUCAAGUACAAUUACUAGAAACAGAUUUGCAAUGGGAGAAACUGGACAAAACAAUAAAAUUGACUUAUUCGUCUGUUGUAGAGGCUCAGAAGCUGCUUGGAAUCAGCUCAAGACCAAGACGUCUUUACUGACGAAAAUGUCUUAUUCACAAUGAUGGUUCUGCGGUUCCCGUGCAACAGAGAAGGAUGGCCAGAGCCUUGUUAUCUUGGGUUCUCUGGCCAAUAUGUAAAGAAUGCAAACUAGGCAUCUU
Molecule: long non-coding RNA, 8896 nt
Filed under: Triticum aestivum (bread wheat)
Lineage: Eukaryota; Viridiplantae; Streptophyta; Magnoliopsida; Poales; Poaceae
Description: long non-coding RNA (TAES_LNC025130)
Source: RNAcentral